RNAcentral lists this long non-coding RNA (2751 nucleotides) under Manihot esculenta (cassava). RNAcentral describes it as "long non-coding RNA (MESC_LNC006426)". The record is from RNAcentral. Lineage: Eukaryota; Viridiplantae; Streptophyta; Magnoliopsida; Malpighiales; Euphorbiaceae.
GAGGUAAAUAUUCUUGCGCAGAACUCAGCAGGAAAGAUCCAGAGAGAAGCCAUGGCUGGUUUGCAAAGAUCUGCCGUGUCUUUUAGGAGGCAAAGAUCUUCUGGUAUUGUAUGGGAUGAUAAGUUUUUGUCAGGAGAGCUCAACCAGGUCGCUAACCAAAACCAAGAACGCCAACAACAGCAGGUGCACUGGAUGCAAGUGCACCAGCAGGUGCACUGCAAAAUGCGUGCACAGGGCAAGUGCACCAGCAAUUGGACUCCUAAAAUUCUUUUUUGUUUAGCAAAAAAGAAAACAAAUGAUGAAUUUUCAAGAUGAACUCAUGAGAAAACCAACAAAUGAGCCAAACCUGAGGCCAAUUUCUGCUUCAACAAACUCAAACUUAGCUCAUUUAUGAAUCAAAUUUUAAAUUUACACUCUAACUUGUUAAAUGACCUCAAAAGAUAUUCACAUGUAACUCAUUUAAUCCAUAUCUCCUCACUAUAUUUAUAAAUUAAACUAAAAAUAUAUACAAAAUAUAUGAUGGCCCAAAUUAGAUGUCUAAAAUACCCGAAAAAAAUGACAUCAAUAUAAAUUUCAGUACCUGUCAAGUGCAUCAGCAUGUGCAGAGGAUAAAUUAAAAAAAUAUAAAACAUGAAUCAGGUAAAAUAUUUCACAAAAAUCAAGGGGUACAGAAGAUAAUUUCAUAAAUUUCACAAAAAUUAAUAAUUUUAAAAAUAUAAAACAUUUCACAAAUAAUUUUACAAGACUGAAAUACAUAUAAGAAAAUAGAUACCUGUGGACAGUGUCCGUCGAUAAUGGCAAGAUCGGAGAGAGAGGCUAACUCGUGGACCGUGAUGCCGAGGAACAGAUCGUCGAUAGAGUCGGUGGACGAUGGUUAGCGGCAGCAAAGCGACAGCGGUGAAAGACCCAAUGGUUGACGGCGCAGAUGAUUUUGAGAGAGAUUUUGAGAGAGAUUUUGAUUUUCCAAUCUCAAGGAUUUUGUAAUUUGGUAGUAUAUUAUAUAAAAAGUUAUAUUUAAUUUUUCAAUUAUUAUAUAUAUUAUAUAAUAAAUUAAUAUUUAUUUUAUUAAUAUAAUAAAAUAAUAUAUAUCCUUAUCAAUAUUUUAACAUAAUUUACCAAAUGCCUAAUAUAUAUUAAUUAAAAUUACCUAUCAAUUAUUAUCUAUUAACAAUAAUUAUCCGUCACAUCUAACAAUUAAAUUAAAUAGCUACUAAAUAUUUUAAAAUAUUUAUAUUAAUUACUGCUAAAUAUUUAAAUUAAUUUGAUUCAUAAAUUUAAUUUAAUAACAAAUAAAUUUGAAUAAAAUUAAAAAAUCUCAUAUUCUAUUUUUUUAAUUUUUAAUUUUUAAUUUAAAAAAAAUUUAACUUAUUAAUUGAUUUAAUAAUAAUAAUAAUAAUAUUUUUAAAUAUGCUGUUGUAUUAUUAAAAUAUUUAACAAUUUAUGUUAUUAAUUUAUUCUUAAAAUUAUGAACGGUUGUUUCUUAAUGUGUAUUAAAUAAUAAUAAAUUAAGUAUUAAAGAAAGUAGGGUUGAAGUAAAAAAUAAAUUAAAUAAAACGAGCUGGCCGCUUCCAGUGUAGAUCGUAGAGGAUGAGUAAAGCCAGGUCAGUUAUGGUAGAAAAAUAAAACUCAAUCACGUUUGCAGCCAUUUAAAAAAAAAAUUAUAAAUAAAUUAAGCAAUAAUUACUAUAUAUAAUGAAAAUUUUUAUUUAUUAAUAUUUUAAUUUUAAAAAAAUAUAUGUUAAAAAUUUUAUUAAUUAAUCUUUUUAUUAAUUUUACUAUUAAAUAUUUUAUUAAUUAAUUUUUUAUAUUUUUAAAAAAUUUAUUAAUCAAUUAUGAAAUUCAAUAUUUUAUUGAAAAUUAACAACAGAUUAAACUUUGAUUUCCAUCAGUGUGUGAAUAUAAAAGAAACCCUCAGGUCGUAUAUGCGCAAUUAAAGAACACACAGAGGUAAAUAUCCUUGCGCAGAACUCAGCAGGAAAGAUCCAGAGAGAAGCCAUGGCUGGUUUGCAAAGAUCUGCCGUGUCUUUUAGGAGGCAAGGAUCUUCAGGUAUUGUAUGGGAUGAUAAGUUUUUGUCAGGAGAGCUAAACCAGGUCGCUAACCAAAACCAAGAACACCAACAACAGCGAGAGCUACAAGAGAAGCUAGAUAUCAAUCAAGAAAGGGAUGUUAAGCCAUCAUCAUCAGGAUCAAUCACUACCAUUGAAAGAAGCCGAUCUAACGGUGGACAACGAGCCUACCGCACCGGCAAGGUCUCUCCGGCUAUCGAACCUCCUUCUCCAAGGGUUUCUGCUUGUGGAUUUUGCAGUGCUUUUGGAAAACCAACAAAGAAUCAUCGGAAAAGGGCCGGUAAGCCCAGAUCACGAUAGUUUUCCACUUUUUACGGUAGCUGGGGAUGGAAUAUUCCGGUGAAUUUGGGGGGAGAGGGAUAUGAUUAAUUACAGUAUUACCACUAUUUACAUCUUCUGUCAGGGUAGGGUUAAGACCUCUCGUUCAGCUCACUAGACUGAAACGCAGGGGCUUGUUUUUGGAACAGAACCGAGCUAUAUUCUUUUUCUUGUCCUGUUAAUUUAGCCAUGAUCAUUUCAUUGAGUUUCUCUUUUUCCCCUUAGAUUUUAGAGAUGGUUUUCUGUUUUAGCCGGAUCCAAUUAUGUGUAUAUGGUUUGGUUCUUGAUCAGGAAAUUUUACUUUUGUUCUGUACAAAAAGAAAAUCUCGAUUCUUUCUCUGUUCUUGAUAAUAUUUUUGUGUGAUU